GGUGACCUCUACCCACUCUGGAUGCUUGUGGUCCUGCUGGCUGCUCUGUGCCCCAGAUGGAAGGUAAAACCAAGUCUGAAUAAAUCUUAAAACAAACGUUUAGUAUCUCGCACAAUUUCUGGAAGACGAGAAUCUGGGAGCAGCUGGCUAGCGUGCUGAGUGUGUCACACAGUUGCAGUCAAUCUAUCAGCAGGUUCGCAGCAUCUCAAGGUCUGACCAGGGCUGCAGAAUCUGCUUCCAAGAUGACCCACUUGGAUCGGGACAGCAGCAGCUCCUCCCUGGCUGGCGGCAGAUUUCAGUGCCCUGCUACAUGGGCCUCUGAGUAGGCUGCGUCGGCAUCCUCGCAACGUGGCAACUACCUUCUUCCAGAGUAAAGUAUUUGAGAGAGCCAGAGCGAGAGCAAGAGUGAGAGCGCGUGCGUGAGAGAGAACACCUUGAAGACAGAGGAGACUCUGCCUGAGGCCUUACCCAUGAGACAGGCUAGAAGCGCUGGAGCUACUUGCAGUCGUACCCAACAAUGAGGAGCGAGAGAUUACAAAUAUCUCAGCUUCAGGGGCCCUUGAAUGGGGCAACUUGUACCCACACUGUCUUCAAGAGUUCCCCACAGAACGGAGCCCCCAUUGCUCACAGGGAUGAUCUCUUCAUUGAUACACUCUGUAUUGGGUUCCAUUCCUCCUUUGUCACUUUCCUAUCCCCUACCUGCCAAAUAAACUACCCACACGUACAUCCUUGUCUCAGGUCAGCAUCCGGGGUAAGCCACUGUUAGAAAGAAAACCACAGGCCCCAAAUGAUGUCACUUAUCCAAGUCUCCAAGCCAGGGCUUAAUAAUACCUAACUUAACUGUAGUUUCAACCUCCCAUAGAAAGGUAAGUCUUAACUGAUGAAGGAGCAUGAGGCAGGCUGAGGGGUAAAACACAAGUCAGCACCCUCACCCCCACCCCAGGUGGGAUCUGUGUGAUAUUCCUGGGACACUCCCGGCUACCCAAGAACAAAGAGGUUUAAAUGCUUGCCAUGGUAAUGUGGAAAACUAAGGCAAACGAAAAAUUGAAUUCCCUUUCUGCCUACAGCCCCUUGACAAGUCCUUGAGACUGGCAGAGUGACCUCCGUCUAGGAGCUCAGCUGCCUCAAGGAUGACACUUUGCUGGGGGCAAAAGAGAUGGUAGGUUAAUAUUGUCCCAACCUUGAGGAUCUUGUAAGCCUCCUUCCUUUAUCGCAACCUUUAAUAAAAUCACUUUUGC
This is a long non-coding RNA of Suricata suricatta (meerkat), 1238 nucleotides long. RefSeq lists it as uncharacterized. The transcript has 3 exons. The record is from RefSeq and is a predicted model, not a curated record. Lineage: Eukaryota; Metazoa; Chordata; Mammalia; Carnivora; Herpestidae.